RNAcentral lists this unclassified non-coding RNA (337 nucleotides) under soil metagenome. RNAcentral describes it as "partial contains 5.8S ribosomal RNA, internal transcribed spacer 2, and large subunit ribosomal RNA". The stretch from base 1 to 120 matches the Rfam family "5.8S ribosomal RNA", at positions 35 to 154 of the family's 154-position model. The record is from RNAcentral.
GAUGAAGAACGCAGCGAAAUGCGAUAAGUAGUGUGAAUUGCAGAAUUCAGUGAAUCAUCGAAUCUUUGAACGCACAUUGCGCCCCAUGGUAUUCCGUGGGGCAUGCCUGUUCCAGCGUCAUUUACCCCCUCAAGCUCCGCUUGGUGUUGGGCGUCUGUCCCGCUUCGCGCGCGGACUCGCCCCAAAGGUAUUGGCAGCGGUCGUGCCAGCUUCUCGCGCAGCACAUUGCGCUUCUCGAGGCACCGGUGGGCCCGCGUCCAUCAAGCUCACCCCCCCAGUUUGACCUCGGAUCAGGUAGGGAUACCCGCUGAACUUAAGCAUAUCAAUAAGCGGAGGA